UUGGAGGGCAAGUCUGGUGCCAGCAGCCGCGGUAAUUCCAGCUCCAAUAGCGUAUAUUAAAGUUGCUGCAGUUAAAAAGCUCGUAGUUGAAUUUCGGGACCAUCAUGUCGGUCGUGCCUCGGUACGUACUGGUAUUGUUGGUCUCUCCCUUCUGACGAGCCAUGAUGUCAUUUAUUUGGUGUUGUGGGGAAUCAGGACUGUUACUUUGAAAAAAUUAGAGUGUUUAAAGCAGGCUCACGCUUGAAUACAUUAGCAUGGAAUAAUGAAAUAGGACGUUUGAUUCUAUUUUGUUGGUUUCUAGGAUCGACGUAAUGAUUAAUAGGGAUAGUUGGGGGCAUUAGUAUUCAAUUGUCAGAGGUGAAAUUCUUGGAUUUAUUGAAGACUAACUACUGCGAAAGCAUUUGCCAAGGAUGUUUUCAUUAAUCAAGAACGAAAGUUAGGGGAUCGAAGACGAUCAGAUACCGUCGUAGUCUUAACCAUAAACUAUGCCGACUAGGGAUCGGAUGAUGUUAAUUUUUUAAUGACUCAUUCGGCGCCUUACGGGAAAC
This 548-nucleotide ribosomal RNA is filed under the name uncultured Glomeraceae. Its description in RNAcentral is "SSU rRNA". It matches the Rfam family "Eukaryotic small subunit ribosomal RNA", at positions 548 to 1098 of the family's 1831-position model. The record is from RNAcentral. Lineage: Eukaryota; Fungi; Glomeromycota; Glomeromycetes; Glomerales; Glomeraceae.